RNAcentral lists this ribosomal RNA (572 nucleotides) under uncultured bacterium. RNAcentral describes it as "bacterial SSU rRNA". It matches the Rfam family "Bacterial small subunit ribosomal RNA", at positions 102 to 674 of the family's 1533-position model. The record is from RNAcentral.
ACGGGUGAGGAACACGUAGGAACCUGCCUAGAAGCGGGGGACAACCAAGGGAAACUUUGGCUAAUACCGCAUAAUCUCGAGAGAGAAAAGGCGCCCGCAAGGGUGUCACUUCUAGAAGGGCCUGCGUCCGAUUAGCUAGUUGGUGGGGUAAAAGCCCACCAAGGCGAUGAUCGGUAACUGGUCUGAGAGGACGACCAGUCACACUGGGACUGAGACACGGCCCAGACUCCUACGGGAGGCAGCAGUGGGGAAUAUUGGACAAUGGGGGCAACCCUGAUCCAGCGAUGCCGCGUGGGUGAAGAAGGCCUUCGGGUUGUAAAGCCCUUUAGGUCGGGAAGAAGUUGAUUAGUUUAAUAGACUAGUUGAUUGACGGUACCGACAGAAUAAGCACCGGCAAACUCUGUGCCAGCAGCCGCGGUAAUACAGAGGGUGCAAGCGUUAAUCGGAGUUACUGGGCGUAAAGGGCGCGUAGGCGGUCAGAUAUGUGUGAUGUGAAAGCCCUGGGCUUAACCUAGGAAGUGCAUCGCAAACUGUUUGACUGGAGUAUAUGAGAGGGUGGCGGAAUUUCCGGU